Molecule: transfer RNA, 67 nt
Filed under: Nemoura avicularis
Lineage: Eukaryota; Metazoa; Arthropoda; Insecta; Plecoptera; Nemouridae
Description: tRNA-Gly
Source: RNAcentral
ACUUAUUUAGUAUAACUAGUAUCUUUGACUUCCAAUCAGAAGGUCUAAACUUAGUUUAGAAUAAGUA